GACGAACGCUGGCGGCGUGCUUAACACAUGCGAGUCGAACGGAAAGGCCCUGCUUUUGUGGGGUGCUCGAGUGGCGAACGGGUGAGUAACACGUGAGUAACCUGCCCUUGACUUUGGGAUAACUUCAGGAAACUGGGGCUAAUACCGGAUAGGAGCUCCUGCUGCAUGGUGGGGGUUGGAAAGUUUCGGCGGUUGGGGAUGGACUCGCGGCUUAUCAGCUUGUUGGUGGGGUAGUGGCUUACCAAGGCUUUGACGGGUAGCCGGCCUGAGAGGGUGACCGGCCACAUUGGGACUGAGAUACGGCCCAGACUCCUACGGGAGGCAGCAGUGGGGAAUAUUGCACAAUGGGCGGAAGCCUGAUGCAGCAACGCCGCGUGCGGGAUGACGACCUUCGGGUUGUAAACCGCUUUCGCCUGUGACGAAGCGUGAGUGACGGUAAUGGGUAAAGAAGCACCGGCUAACUACGUG
RNAcentral lists this ribosomal RNA (468 nucleotides) under uncultured bacterium. Its description in RNAcentral is "partial 16S ribosomal RNA". It matches the Rfam family "Bacterial small subunit ribosomal RNA", at positions 28 to 507 of the family's 1533-position model. The record is from RNAcentral.